This 642-nucleotide ribosomal RNA is filed under the name Ascomycota sp. S21. RNAcentral describes it as "eukaryotic LSU rRNA". The stretch from base 291 to 444 matches the Rfam family "5.8S ribosomal RNA". Lineage: Eukaryota; Fungi; Ascomycota. The record is from RNAcentral.
GCUUCAGCUCGUAGUGACCUGCGGAGGAUCAUUAAAAAACGAUCACCGGUGUACCCAAGCGAUGUCGAUUACUCGACCUUGUGGGGCUGUCCUAAACUCACAGCAUUACCAGUCGCGCGGGAUACUGAUGCCCUAGCCCUCGAGCUAGGGGCCGAGUGAAUCCCACCCGUGUCUACAUACUCUUGUUGCUUUGGCGGGCCGUGGCCUCCACUGUGGGCUCCGCCUGCAUGUGCCCGCCAGAGGAUCAAACUCUGAAUUUUAGUGAUGUCUGAGUACUAUAUAAUAGUUAAAACUUUCAACAACGGAUCUCUUGGUUCUGGCAUCGAUGAAGAACGCAGCGAAAUGCGAUAAGUAAUGUGAAUUGCAGAAUUCAGUGAAUCAUCGAAUCUUUGAACGCACAUUGCGCCCUGUGGUAUUCCGCAGGGCAUGCCUGUUCGAGCGUCAUUACAACCACUCAAGCCUGGCUUGGUAUUGGGGUUUGCGGUUCCGCAGCCCCUAAAACUAGUGGCGGUGCCGGUGUGGCUCUACGCGUAGUAAUUCUUCUCGCGAUGGAGUUCCCCUGGAUACCUGCCAGAACCCCCCAAUUUUUACAGGUUGACCUCGGAUCAGGUAGGGAUACCCGCUGAACUUAAGCAUACAAGG